Molecule: non-coding RNA, 273 nt
Organism: Doryrhamphus excisus (bluestripe pipefish)
Lineage: Eukaryota; Metazoa; Chordata; Actinopteri; Syngnathiformes; Syngnathidae
Source: RefSeq, a predicted model, not a curated record
CUCCUCCUCCUCCUCCUCCUCCCUCCUGUCAUGAUUGUGAUCACCAAGCAACUUUCAAUGCUGUGAAAAUCCUUCCCCUUGGCGUUCAAGUCUCAUUGAGCUAAAUGAAGAUACCUUAAAUGAGUCAGCGGAGAUGUUGGCAGGGGUAUUACUUCUGGGCACAAUCCUUACAGCUAUACCAGGAAUCCAGGGCAGGUGGAGUGUGUCCUUCUCCCGAAGAGAGAUCUGUGUGUGGGCAGGAACGACCGUCACGCUGCCCUGUCGCUUUGACUA